UUAUAACCACAUGUACAGCAACGUGUGAGUACAUGGUCCAGGUGUCUGUGUGUUUGUAGCCACUGUUGCAAAUAUAAGGUUUGCUGGAACCCUCCUUAUUGUGGAAGAACAUUUUUGUAUACCACAAGCUUAAGUUACUUUAUUUGAACUCAUAUGCAGGUAACCACAAUCUCCACACAGCUUUUAAAACAGCACAAGCAGUGACCAAGACUCCACCUUGGUUGUAUACAAAACAGGAGGAGGACAGGGUCAUCAUUACUGUAACAGAGGUGGAUAAACAUGGAUCUCCAGAGUCUUUAACUAGCAGAAGCAGUUCAUGAAUUGUAGGGUCAAUAUCCUGAAUGGCGCGUUUUGUCUUUAUUUCCCCAGUUCGAAGGACAACACUGAACAACGUAGGAUCUGUGGCAUCAAUUCUUCAGGGAUAGAGUAACGGAACUGUGCAUGUGUCAGAUUUACGAGCAGCCACAAAGGAAAGAGAUGCAGUAUCCCCACUUG
Molecule: long non-coding RNA, 495 nt
Organism: Xenopus tropicalis (tropical clawed frog)
Lineage: Eukaryota; Metazoa; Chordata; Amphibia; Anura; Pipidae
Exons: 3
Source: RefSeq, a predicted model, not a curated record